This 274-nucleotide ribosomal RNA is filed under the name uncultured bacterium. RNAcentral's name for it is "partial 16S ribosomal RNA". It matches the Rfam family "Bacterial small subunit ribosomal RNA", at positions 523 to 796 of the family's 1533-position model. The record is from RNAcentral.
AUACGGAGGGUGCAAGCGUUAUUCUGAAUCACUGGGCGUAAAGGACGCGUAGGCGGGUUGGCAAGUCAGAUGUGAAAUCCUACAGCUUAACUGUAGAACUGCAUUUGAAACUGCUAACCUAGAGUAUGGGAGGGGGAGAUGGAAUUAGUGGUGUAGGGGUAAAAUCCGUAGAUAUCACUAGGAAUACCGAAAGCGAAGGCGAUCUCCUGGAACAUAACUGACGCUAAGGCGUGAAAGCGUGGGGAGCAAACAGGAUUAGAAACCCUAGUAGUCC